This 255-nucleotide ribosomal RNA is filed under the name uncultured bacterium. RNAcentral's name for it is "partial 16S ribosomal RNA". It matches the Rfam family "Bacterial small subunit ribosomal RNA", at positions 526 to 779 of the family's 1533-position model. The record is from RNAcentral.
CGUAGGUGCGAGCGUUGUCCGGAUUUAUUGGGCGUAAAGAGCUUGUAGGCGGUUGAUUGCGUCGAAAGUGCAAACUCAGGGCUUAACUCUGAGCCUGCUUUCGAUACGGGUCGACUUGAGGAAUGUAGGGGAGAAUGGAAUUCCCGGUGGAGCGGUGGAAUGCGCAGAUAUCGGGAGGACACCAGUGGCGAAGGCGGUUCUCUGGACAUUUUCCUGACGCUGAGAAGCGAAAAGCGUGGGGGAGCAAACAGGCUU